ACAUGCAUAUUGGACCAUAAUAAUGUUACGAUACUUUUUGAAAAGUGGUAGCACAAUGGAAAAUCAUCUGGCUAACUCAAGUUUUUGUUUCUAGUAUUUAAAGUCAAAAACACUGUCAAUUGUGUCUAAGUAUUAGUGAAAAUCAUGUUCAAUUAUUCCAACUUUCCUAAUUCUUUGGCCGAAACCCAUUAAGCAAUGUAUAUACAUUUCAAACACAGUCAUAAUUUGUUUCUGAAACAUGAUUACAUAUCCAACGUUGGUGAUUUGAUUCAGAGAUCAAUUCGUAGCAGUAUGUUUGAUCAAACGGAUUACAAAUUAAUCUAAAGUAAAGAGAAUAGUAAACGUCGGUAAUCAAAUGGGACCUACUCCCAACCGUGGACACAUUAUAGUCAUCAUUUAACCCUAAUCAACGAGACUUACACACCUACUCAACAAA
RNAcentral lists this long non-coding RNA (436 nucleotides) under Brassica napus (rape). RNAcentral describes it as "long non-coding RNA (BNAP_LNC005369)". Lineage: Eukaryota; Viridiplantae; Streptophyta; Magnoliopsida; Brassicales; Brassicaceae. The record is from RNAcentral.